GGAUGACGGCCUUCGGGUUGUAAACCUCUUUCAGUAGGGAAGAAGCGAAAGUGACGGUACCUGCAGAAGAAGCACCGGCUAACUACGUGCCAGCAGCCGCGGUAAUACGUAGGGUGCGAGCGUUAUCCGGAAUUAUUGGGCGUAAAGAGCUCGUAGGCGGUUUGUCGCGUCUGUCGUGAAAGUCCGGGGCUUAACCCCGGAUCUGCGGUGGGUACGGGCAGACUAGAGUGCAGUAGGGGAGACUGGAAUUCCUGGUGUAGCGGUGGAAUGCGCAGAUAUCAGGAGGAACACCGAUGGCGAAGGCAGGUCUCUGGGCUGUAACUGACGCUGAGGAGCGAAAGCAUGGGGAGCGAACAGGAUUAGAUACCCUGGUAGUCCAUGCCGUAAACGUUGGGCACUAGGUGUGGGGACCAUUCCACGGUUUCCGCGCCGCAGCUAACGCAUUAAGUGCCCCGCCUGGGGAGUACGGCCGCAAGGCUAAAACUCAAAGGAAUUGACGGGGGCCCGCACAAGCGGCGGAGCAUGCGGAUUAAUUCGAUGCAACGCGAAGAACCUUACCAAGGCUUGACAUGUUCUCGAUCGCCGUAGAGAUACGGUUUCCCCUUUGGGGCGGGUUCACAGGUGGUGCAUGGUUGUCGUCAGCUCGUGUCGUGAGAUGUUGGGUUAAGUCCCGCAACGAGCGCAACCCUCGUUCCAUGUUGCCAGCACGUCGUGGUGGGG
This 720-nucleotide ribosomal RNA is filed under the name Micrococcus luteus. RNAcentral's name for it is "bacterial SSU rRNA". It matches the Rfam family "Bacterial small subunit ribosomal RNA", at positions 406 to 1136 of the family's 1533-position model. Lineage: Bacteria; Bacillati; Actinomycetota; Actinomycetes; Micrococcales; Micrococcaceae. The record is from RNAcentral.